CACAGUAUGCUCUUCUUUAAUGAGUUGUACUUCCUACACCCAUCGCCAACUUAAAUUCUAUGUAACGGUUAGGUUUUUUCACUGUAAGUGAAUCAAAUUAGAAAAUCGUGAUUAAUACUUUGCAUAUAAUCAAAAUAAUUUGGGAAUCUGCAAUGGAAAUGGAAAUCUGACUGAUCUCCCAAUUUUAUUUAUUUAUUAUUAUUAUUAUUAUUUUUAAAGUCUGUUAUCUCUGCUAGUCACAGAAAUGGCCAUUAGUGCAACUUGGAGAGGUUUGUACACAGCUACGACAAUUUCUCACAUUUCAUAGCCUAUCUCACUAGCUUGUGAAAUUUUCGGUACUUUUUCCGCUCCUCCAAAUCUAGCAACACAACUGCAAUUCAUGAUAUAAUCUUUACAUGUAGUUGUUUUAUCUUUCUUUCCAGAUGAGGUUGAAUCUCCCAUCGGAACAAUUCGUCUAUAGCCUGUGAUGGAUUUAUGAUUCCUUCUAAUAUUGUUCUGCCGCAACAGAAAAAGAAUUCUUAUCUCAAAACGUACUUGUUAUUUUUUCAUUUGAUAUGAAUAUUCUAUACAUUUUAGCAAGUUGGAAGGGUUUAACUUCAGAUGCUAGGGUCCUACAAAACACUCUGACAUGUACCGAUGAUCCUCUAAUUGUCUCACAUAGUUUUCAUCGUCACUCUUGUUCAUUUGAUAUGAACAUUCUAUACGUUUUAUCGAGUUGAGAGAGUUUAAAUUCAGAUGCCAGGGUCCUACACAACGCUUUGACAUGUACCGAUGAUCCUUUGUCCCACAUGGUAAAUACUAUGCUGUGGAUGUGGGAUAUGCACACUCGUUAGGUUUUAUGGUCCCGUACUGUGGUGUUCGAUAUCACUUUCAAGAGUAUCGAACCGGUAGAGCUCCCGCGAACAUGGAGUUAUUCAACUAUCGACACACGCAAUCGCGAAACGCAAUUGAGCGAUGUUUGGGAGUAAUGAAAGGCCCGUUCCCAAUAUUGAAAACGGCGAUGAAGUACUAUUUCGAAACUCAGGUGAAAAUUCUAGUAGCUUGUUGUCUGCUACAUAAUUUUAUCCGAUGCUCGCAUGAGUCUGAUGAAGAUCCUGUUGGGAAGGUAGAGACCAACCCAACACUACAUGAGGUGUCAACACUCGACGAGAGGCAGUGAUUAGUGUAAGUGGCUCGGGAGGAAAAAGACGCGUAGAUGAGAGUGUGGGAUGAUAUUGCUGAACGAAUGUGGGCUGACGCCCGAAACAAUUGUAGGAACAGGUACGAUAUCGGACAUGUGGACAAAUCUAGCACGAGCACCGUCGCAAUUACCGGUAAAAACUCUGAUGCAACUUACUCGCCUUUUCUUCGUGAGAAGCCUGUUAGGUCCUUUGCUGAGCCUCCAUCCUGAGCACCUAAAAUCAAAUGGAAUAGAUCGAUUGACCAAGUACUGUUCAACAUGCUGCUCGAGCAAAUUGCAAUAGGACGCAAAGCCGAUAAUGGAUUCAAGAGAGAAGUGUAUCAGGCUACGGCUGAGGAGGUGACGAAUUGUACACUCAUCAGCGCGAAUUGGCAAAAUGUGCAAAACUGUAUGAGGUAUCACAAGAGAGAAUAUAAUGAUGUGAAAGAUAUGCUUGCCGCAAGCGGAUUUGGCUGGGAUAACGAGCGACUGGUUGUGACCUCUCCAAAUGAAGUUUGAGAAGAAUAUCUGUGGGCACACCGUUAUCACAAAACCGUAAUUAUUGUAACUCUAAUUUAUUUGGGUGUUCAUUUUAUGUGUAAGAACGUUAUGGUGUAGUCUCUGCUUGUUAAUAUCUUACUGACAUUGUUUGGUGUAGUCUCAUUCGUGAGCUGAAAGACUUCGGGGGAAAAGAAUCGAGA
Molecule: long non-coding RNA, 1860 nt
Organism: Magnolia sinica
Lineage: Eukaryota; Viridiplantae; Streptophyta; Magnoliopsida; Magnoliales; Magnoliaceae
Exons: 3
Source: RefSeq, a predicted model, not a curated record